RNAcentral lists this ribosomal RNA (439 nucleotides) under uncultured bacterium. RNAcentral describes it as "partial 16S ribosomal RNA". It matches the Rfam family "Bacterial small subunit ribosomal RNA", at positions 339 to 795 of the family's 1533-position model. The record is from RNAcentral.
CCUCGGGUGGCAGCAGUGGGGAAUAUUGCACAAUGGGGGAAACCCUGAUGCAGCGACGCCGCGUGAGUGAAGUAGUAUUUCGGUAUGUAUAGCUCUAUCAGCCGGGAAGACAAUGACGGUACCUGAUUCAGAAGCACCGGCUAACUACGUGCCAGCAGCCGCGGUAAUACGUAGGGGGCAAGCGUUUUCCGGAUUUACUGGGUGUAAAGGGAGCGUAGAAGGCAGCACAAGGCUGGAGUGAAAUGCCGGGGCUUAACCCCGGAACUGCUUUGGAAACUGUGCAGCUAGAGUGCAGGAGAGGUAAGUGGAAUGCCUGGUGUAGCGGUGAAAUGCGUAGAUAUUAGGAGGAACACCAGUGGCGAAGGCGGCUUACUGGACUGUAACUGACGUUGAGGCUCGAAAGCGUGGGGAGCAAACAGGAUUAGAUACCCUGGUAGUC